CCUCUCGUAGCUCAGCUGGAUAGAGUACCUGACGCUCGCUACACCAGGCGGUCAGAGGUUCGAAUCCUCUCGAGCGCGCCA
RNAcentral lists this transfer RNA (81 nucleotides) under Vibrio paracholerae 877-163. RNAcentral's name for it is "Vibrio cholerae O16 str. 877-163 tRNA-Ala". It matches the Rfam family "tRNA". Rfam says of the family: Transfer RNA (tRNA) molecules are approximately 80 nucleotides in length. Their secondary structure includes four short double-helical elements and three loops (D, anti-codon, and T loops). Further hydrogen bonds mediate the characteristic L-shaped molecular structure. tRNAs have two regions of fundamental functional importance: the anti-codon, which is responsible for specific mRNA codon recognition, and the 3' end, to which the tRNAs corresponding amino acid is attached (by aminoacyl-tRNA synthetases). tRNAs cope with the degeneracy of the genetic code in two manners: having more than one tRNA (with a specific anti-codon) for a particular amino acid; and 'wobble' base-pairing, i.e. permitting non-standard base-pairing at the 3rd anti-codon position. The record is from RNAcentral. Lineage: Bacteria; Pseudomonadati; Pseudomonadota; Gammaproteobacteria; Vibrionales; Vibrionaceae.